This 440-nucleotide ribosomal RNA is filed under the name uncultured bacterium. RNAcentral describes it as "partial 16S ribosomal RNA". It matches the Rfam family "Bacterial small subunit ribosomal RNA", at positions 338 to 795 of the family's 1533-position model. The record is from RNAcentral.
CCUACGGGUGACAGCAGUGGGGGAUAUUGCACAAUGGGGGAAACCCUGAUGCAGCGACGCCGCGUGAGUGAAGAAGUAUUUCGGUACGUAAAGCUCUAUCAGCAGGGAAGAAAAUGACGGUACCUGACUAAGAAGCCCCGGCUAACUACGUGCCAGCAGCCGCGGUAAUACGUAGGGGGCAAGCGUUAUCCGGAUUUACUGGGUGUAAAGGGAGCGUAGACGGCAGCGCAAGUCUGGAGUGAAAUCCCAUGGCUUAACCAUGGAACUGCUUUGGAAACUGUGCAGCUAGAGUGCAGGAGAGGUAAGCGGAAUUCCUAGUGUAGCGGUGAAAUGCGUAGAUAUUAGGAGGAACACCAGUGGCGAAGGCGGCUUACUGGACUGUAACUGACGUUGAGGCUCGAAAGCGUGGGGAGCAAACAGGAUUAGAUACCCCUGUAGUC